AAGUCGUAACAAGGUUUCCGUAGGUGAACCUGCGGAAGGAUCAUUACCAAAGAUUUAUAUCUUUGACCCAACUGUGCACUGUUUCCCCCCAUUGACACUUCGGUGUUAGUGGGGCCCCUUAUUCUACUCUUGUCUACUUUUUUUGACUACUUUAUGGGUGGGAAUAAAUACAACUUUCAGCAACGGAUCUCUAGGCUCUU
Molecule: unclassified non-coding RNA, 200 nt
Filed under: fungal sp.
Lineage: Eukaryota; Fungi
Description: partial internal transcribed spacer region
Rfam family: Eukaryotic small subunit ribosomal RNA (bases 1-46)
Source: RNAcentral